CAGUCGAACGCGAAAGGCUCCUCCGGGAGCCGAGUAGAGUGGCAGACGGGUGAGUAACGCGUGGGUAACGUGCCCCGAGCCUGGGAAUAACCCUCGGAAACGAGGGCUAAUACCGAAUGUGGCCCCCGAUCGGAUGAUCGGUGGCUAAAGGUGGCCUCUUCUAUGCUGCCGGGUUGGGAUCGGCCCGCGUUCCAUUAGCUAGUUGGUGAGGUAACGGCCCACCAAGGCAACGAUGGGUAGCCGGCCUGAGAGGGUGUACGGCCACACUGGCACUGAGACAAGGGCCAGUCCCCUAUGGGAGGCGCAUGCGGGAAUAGUUCCCAAUGGACGAAAGUCUGAGGACGCGACGCCGCGUGAGCGAAGAAGGCCUUCGGGUUGUAAAGCUCUGUCAGGAGGGAAGAAGGCGCUGGGUGUUAAUAGCACCAAGCGUUGACGGUACUUCCAGAGGAAGCCCCGGCUAAAUACGUGCCAGGAGACGAGGUAAUACGUAUGGGGCAAGCGUUGUACGGAUUAACUGGGCGUAAAGGGCACGCAGGCGGAUCGUUUAGUCGAAGGUGAAAUCCC
This 564-nucleotide ribosomal RNA is filed under the name uncultured organism. Its description in RNAcentral is "bacterial SSU rRNA". It matches the Rfam family "Bacterial small subunit ribosomal RNA", at positions 58 to 603 of the family's 1533-position model. The record is from RNAcentral.